UGGGGAAUAUUGCACAAUGGGCGCAAGCCUGAUGCAGCCAUGCCGCGUGUAUGAAGAAGGCCUUCGGGUUGUAAAGUACUUUCAGCGGGGAGGAAGGGAGUAAAGUUAAUACCUUUGCUCAUUGACGUUACCCGCAGAAGAAGCACCGGCUAACUCCGUGCCAGCAGCCGCGGUAAUACGGAGGGUGCAAGCGUUAAUCGGAAUUACUGGGCGUAAAGCGCACGCAGGCGGUUUGUUAAGUCAGAUGUGAAAUCCCCGGGCUCAACCUGGGAACUGCAUCUGAUACUGGCAAGCUUGAGUCUCGUAGAAGGGGGUAGAAUUCCAGGUGUAGCGGUGAAAUGCGGAGAGAUCUGGAGGAAUACCGGUGGCGACGGCAGCCCCCUGGACGAAGACUGACGCUCAGGUGCGAAAGCGUGGGGAGCAAACAGG
Molecule: ribosomal RNA, 429 nt
Filed under: Chloroflexota bacterium
Lineage: Bacteria; Bacillati; Chloroflexota
Description: Chloroflexi bacterium partial 16S ribosomal RNA
Rfam family: Bacterial small subunit ribosomal RNA
Source: RNAcentral